Long non-coding RNA from Pezoporus flaviventris, 1707 nucleotides. RefSeq lists it as uncharacterized. The transcript is spliced from 2 exons. The record is from RefSeq and is a predicted model, not a curated record. Lineage: Eukaryota; Metazoa; Chordata; Aves; Psittaciformes; Psittacidae.
GUGCACUGAGUUGAGGGGAAAUGGGCUUCCCCUCAUAAAGGUGAUGCCCACCAUGCUGCCACUGAAGCAGCAUGGCAGAAGAAGUGGUUGUGGAAGCCACUGUGGGAGGAAAGCGGGAAUGACUCUCUGGAAGACAUGUCAAAGGCUCAUUAGAAUGACAGAGCUUCUCUGGCUCUGGACACUGUGGUUUUUCCAGGGUUAUUUAUGAAGAAGGUGUGGCCAGACAAAUGCUGGAGCAAGGGAAACUGUCCAACAGAACAAGAUGUUCUCCUGGCACAGUGGGAAACCUGAUGCUUCUUUCGAGAGUCAGUGGAUAAGACCAACCUUAAACCUGUGCAGCAGGGAGGACUUCCACACAAGGAUGCAUUUUUUGCACCUAGCGAGUCACUGAUGUUUUCCAUGUGUCGCAGUGUUGCCAUGAACCUGUAUUUGGUGUCUCUGCUUGUUCCACUGCGCUGAAUUGAGAAAUGGACGUGGUCCGUAGCUCCUGUUAAACUGUUCAGACCACUUGGCUCUGUUGGUUUUGGCAAACUUACCUAGAGUCUUGCAAGGGCCAGGUUCACCCCCACACAUCCAGAUCAGCAAAACGUUUGCUGUUCUCUGAAGCAAUUGUUGGUGAUGACAUAUUUUGUGACAGGAAAUCAUUGCAAAAUGCUUGGCUCUCAGGAUGAAAACCAUGCAUCCAGCUCAGAAAAAUAAAUGCGACCGGUAUGUUCUAAGCAUAGAUCUCUUCAGAUUUUGUUCUAGGACAAAAAUCAACCCCACUUUUCAGGACUUAUUGUUCUAAUCAUUAACGCCUGGGCAGUCAGUACAUCUGUUACUGUUACAAUCUCUGAUUUUCCACUGGAAAAAAAAAAGAGAGAAAAGUUAAAGUUUAACCACAGCCAUUGAGUUUGCCCACGCCAAUCAAACAGGAGACAAGCCAUUACAAUAUCUCAGUAACUUGUUCCGUGGAUAAUUCCCCUGGCAAUAUUAAGGAAUUAAAUGCAAGACUGGUAGAUCCAUUAGUAUUGUUUAGAUUUGCAAAGCAUAACAGAAGUUCAAACUGCCUUGAAUGACUGCCUCUUUACGAGGCUAGUGGAGGUAGCCCUCUCACCAUGGCUCCUGAUGGAAUGACCAAGGAAGAGCUGCGAGGUAAGCAAACAGAACAUCUUCCUACAGAACACCCAAAAAGGAAGCAAUAGAGAAUGACAAGGCAGGAGUUCUCUGUGCAGGAACAUGUCUACGGGUGCAUGUUGGAGCAGACCUGCUCAGCGUCUGAUUAAGAUAUUUGAAGUUUAGGGUGAUAUAUGAAAAGUAAACAGACAAAUGAAAAGCCUUACACGAACAAAGCACACCCCACCACCCCCCUUCCGCUGAGCUCCUUAAAGCUUUGUUCUACCAGGGAAUAGUACCAGUUUCCCAAUUCACUGCCACCUUACGGCAUUUCAGAGAGAUGACACUUCAGUAAUUCCUAUUGGAUGCUUCCUAUUUUCAAGCAGCCUCGCUGGGAACUCGGUCGUUACAGAAACACGGCAGCUGUAAACCUGCCCCUUGCAGCCAGGUUUGGAACAAUAUCAGUGCCUGAGACGCUGGAUUAUACAAGCUUGUGAAAACCGAUCAUUAAAACGUCAAUUCUAUUUAUAUUUGCAGAUUCUCAAGGGAGGUCAUUUCAUCAGCCAAGAGGCCGAAAAUAAAGAUGAACUUUGCAAUGUUGUCAAAAGAGAA